UUAUCUCUGUAGAGUCUGCAUAUCAAUAAGCGGAGGAAAAGAAACUAACUAGGAUUCCCUCAGUAACGGCGAGUGAAGCGGGAAGAGCUCAAAUUUGAAAUCUUCAAGGUUUUACCUUGACGAAUUGUAGUUUAGAGAAGUGUUUUCUGUUGGAGUUUUGGUAAAAGUUCUUUGGAAUAGGACAUCAUAGAGGGUGAGAAUCCCGUAUUUGACCAUUAUUUCCAGCUUUGUGAUACACUUUCAAAGAGUCGGAUUGUUUGGGAAUGCAGUCCAAAAUGGGUGGUAAAUUUCAUCUAAAGCUAAAUACUGGCGAGAGACCGAUAGCGAACAAGUACCGUGAAGGAAAGAUGAAAAGAACUUUGAAAAGAGAGUUAAACAGUACGUGAAAUUGUCAAAAGGGAAGCGUUUGACACCAGUGUUGUUUCUCUCGAAAAUCAAUUAAAAAAUGGCAGGGAUUUUGUGUUGUAUUGACUUUAUCAGCUUUCUGCACUCUUUUUCUUGUCUUUUUUAAUGCACUUUUCGUUUAACAAGUCAACAUCAAUUUCUUUUGUUGUAAAAGGGUCAUUGGAAGGUGGCUUUCUUUUCGGAGAAAGUGUUUAUAGCCUUUGGCCUCUGCAAUCGGAGAGAUUGAGGUCUGCAGCGUAGAUCCUUCGGGGUUAGAUACAUUUGUGCUAAGUUAUAGCCUUUCAUAGACAACUUGUUGACUAUGAAUCAGUCAUGUAGCUUACUCGCUUAUGCUAUUUUACCUACGCUUAGGAUGUUGAGUCAUCACACAUCUCU
Molecule: ribosomal RNA, 780 nt
Filed under: uncultured Neocallimastigales
Lineage: Eukaryota; Fungi; Neocallimastigomycota; Neocallimastigomycetes; Neocallimastigales
Description: partial large subunit ribosomal RNA
Rfam family: Eukaryotic large subunit ribosomal RNA
Source: RNAcentral